GGUUAAGCGACUAAGCGUACACGGUGGAUGCCCUGGCAGUCAGAGGCGAUGAAGGGCGUGCUAAUCUGCGAUAAGCGCCGGUAAGGUGAUAUGAACCGUUAUAACCGGCGAUACCCGAAUGGGGAAACCCAGUGUGAUUCGUCACACUAUCAUUAACUGAAUCCAUAGGUUAAUGAGGCGAACCGGGGGAACUGAAACAUCUAAGUACCCCGAGGAAAAGAAAUCAACCGAGAUUCCCCCAGUAGCGGCGAGCGAACGGGGAGGAGCCCAGAGCCUGAAUCAGCAUGUGUGUUAGUGGAAGCGUCUGGAAAGGCGCGCGAUACAGGGUGACAGCCCCGUACACAAAAGCGCAUGUGCUGUGAGCUCGAUGAGUAGGGCGGGACACGUGGUAUCCUGUCUGAAUAUGGGGGGACCAUCCUCCAAGGCUAAAUACUCCUGACUGACCGAUAGUGAACCAGUACCGUGAGGGAAAGGCGAAAAGAACCCCGGCGAGGGGAGUGAAAAAGAACCUGAAACCGUGUACGUACAAGCAGUGGGAGCACAGGUUUACCUGUGUGACUGCGUACCUUUUGUAUAAUGGGUCAGCGACUUAUAUUCUGUAGCAAGGUUAACCGAAUAGGGGAGCCGGAGGGAAACCGAGUCUUAAUUGGGCGUUAAGUUGCAGGGUAUAGACCCGAAACCCGGUGAUCUAGCCAUGGGCAGGUUGAAGGUUGGGUAACACUAACUGGAGGACCGAACCGACUAAUGUUGAAAAAUUAGCGGAUGACCUGUGGCUGGGGGUGAAAGGCCAAUCAAACCGGGAGAUAGCUGGUUCUCCCCGAAAGCUAUUUAGGUAGCGCCUCGUGAAUUCAUCUCCGGGGGUAGAGCACUGUUUCGGCUAGGGGGCCAUCCCGGCUUACCAACCCGAUGCAAACUGCGAAUACCGGAGAAUGUUAUCACGGGAGACACACGGCGGGUGCUAACGUCCGUCGUGAAGAGGGAAACAACCCAGACCGCCAGCUAAGGUCCCAAAGUCAUGGUUAAGUGGGAAACGAUGUGGGAAGGCCCAGACAGCCAGGAUGUUGGCUUAGAAGCAGCCAUCAUUUAAAGAAAGCGUAAUAGCUCACUGGUCGAGUCGGCCUGCGCGGAAGAUGUAACGGGGCUAAACCAUGCACCGAAGCUGCGGCAGCGAACGUAUCACUUAAAGCGAUUCAGCGGAUGACGAUUGACGGAGCGAAGCGACGUCAAAGCGUAUACAAAGUCGAGUCGGUUUAAGGAUACGUUCGUUGGGUAGGGGAGCGUUCUGUAAGCCUGUGAAGGUGGCCUGUGAGGGUUGCUGGAGGUAUCAGAAGUGCGAAUGCUGACAUAAGUAACGAUAAAGCGGGUGAAAAGCCCGCUCGCCGGAAGACCAAGGGUUCCUGUCCAACGUUAAUCGGGGCAGGGUGAGUCGACCCCUAAGGCGAGGCCGAAAGGCGUAGUCGAUGGGAAACGGGUUAAUAUUCCCGUACUUGGUGUUACUGCGAAGGGGGGACGGAGAAGGCUAUGUUGGCCGGGCGACGGUUGUCCCGGUUUAAGCGUGUAGGCUGGUUUUCCAGGCAAAUCCGGAAAAUCAAGGCUGAGGCGUGAUGACGAGGCACUACGGUGCUGAAGCAACAAAUGCCCUGCUUCCAGGAAAAGCCUCUAAGCAUCAGGUAACAUCAAAUCGUACCCCAAACCGACACAGGUGGUCAGGUAGAGAAUACCAAGGCGCUUGAGAGAACUCGGGUGAAGGAACUAGGCAAAAUGGUGCCGUAACUUCGGGAGAAGGCACGCUGACACGUAGGUGAAGUGAUUUACUCAUGGAGCUGAAGUCAGUCGAAGAUACCAGCUGGCUGCAACUGUUUAUUAAAAACACAGCACUGUGCAAACACGAAAGUGGACGUAUACGGUGUGACGCCUGCCCGGUGCCGGAAGGUUAAUUGAUGGGGUCAGCGCAAGCGAAGCUCCUGAUCGAAGCCCCGGUAAACGGCGGCCGUAACUAUAACGGUCCUAAGGUAGCGAAAUUCCUUGUCGGGUAAGUUCCGACCUGCACGAAUGGCGUAAUGAUGGCCAGGCUGUCUCCACCCGAGACUCAGUGAAAUUGAACUCGCUGUGAAGAUGCAGUGUACCCGCGGCAAGACGGAAAGACCCCGUGAACCUUUACUAUAGCUUGACACUGAACAUUGAGCCUUGAUGUGUAGGAUAGGUGGGAGGCUUUGAAGUGUGGACGCCAGUCUGCAUGGAGCCGACCUUGAAAUACCACCCUUUAAUGUUUGAUGUUCUAACGUGGACCCGUAAUCCGGGUUGCGGACAGUGUCUGGUGGGUAGUUUGACUGGGGCGGUCUCCUCCUAAAGAGUAACGGAGGAGCACGAAGGUUGGCUAAUCCUGGUCGGACAUCAGGAGGUUAGUGCAAUGGCAUAAGCCAGCUUGACUGCGAGCGUGACGGCGCGAGCAGGUGCGAAAGCAGGUCAUAGUGAUCCGGUGGUUCUGAAUGGAAGGGCCAUCGCUCAACGGAUAAAAGGUACUCCGGGGAUAACAGGCUGAUACCGCCCAAGAGUUCAUAUCGACGGCGGUGUUUGGCACCUCGAUGUCGGCUCAUCACAUCCUGGGGCUGAAGUAGGUCCCAAGGGUAUGGCUGUUCGCCAUUUAAAGUGGUACGCGAGCUGGGUUUAGAACGUCGUGAGACAGUUCGGUCCCUAUCUGCCGUGGGCGCUGGAGAACUGAGGGGGGCUGCUCCUAGUACGAGAGGACCGGAGUGGACGCAUCACUGGUGUUCGGGUUGUCAUGCCAAUGGCACUGCCCGGUAGCUAAAUGCGGAAGAGAUAAGUGCUGAAAGCAUCUAAGCACGAAACUUGCCCCGAGAUGAGUUCUCCCUGAGACUUAGAGUCUCCUGAAGGAACGUUGAAGACGACGACGUUGAUAGGCCGGGUGUGUAAGCGCAGCGAUGCGUUGAGCUAACCGGUACUAAUGAACCGUGAGGCUUAACCUU
RNAcentral lists this ribosomal RNA (2987 nucleotides) under Salmonella enterica subsp. enterica serovar Kentucky. RNAcentral describes it as "23S ribosomal RNA". It matches the Rfam family "Bacterial large subunit ribosomal RNA". Lineage: Bacteria; Pseudomonadati; Pseudomonadota; Gammaproteobacteria; Enterobacterales; Enterobacteriaceae. The record is from RNAcentral.